UGAACCUCUUUCACUCUAAGAGGAUCUGUCCUAUGAGAAAGUAUCGGUCGGUAUUAUGGACCGAAAGAUCAGAUUACUCCGCAACCAGAAAAUUUCUUUUGUUAAGUUCCUAUGGCAGAAUCACACACCGAGUGAAGCCACAUGGGGAGCUAGAAUUAGACUUCAGAGCCUGAUACCCCUAACUGUUUGAUUGAGUGAAAGAGAGACAAAUU
This 212-nucleotide long non-coding RNA is filed under the name Carica papaya (papaya). RNAcentral describes it as "long non-coding RNA (CPAP_LNC000936)". The record is from RNAcentral. Lineage: Eukaryota; Viridiplantae; Streptophyta; Magnoliopsida; Brassicales; Caricaceae.